This 468-nucleotide ribosomal RNA is filed under the name uncultured bacterium. RNAcentral describes it as "partial 16S ribosomal RNA". It matches the Rfam family "Bacterial small subunit ribosomal RNA", at positions 28 to 507 of the family's 1533-position model. The record is from RNAcentral.
GACGAACGCUGGCGGCGUGCUUAACACAUGCAAGUCGAACGGAAAGGCCCUGCUUUUGUGGGGUGCUCGAGUGGCGAACGGGUGAGUAACACGUGAGUAACCUGCCCUUGACUUUGGGAUAACUUCAGGAAACUGGGGCUAAUACCGGAUAGGAGCUCCUGCUGCAUGGUGGGGGUUGGAAAGUUUCGGCGGUUGGGGAUGGACUCGCGGCUUAUCAGCUUGUUGGUGGGGUAGUGGCUUACCAAGGCUUUGACGGGUAGCCGGCCUGAGAGGGUGACCGGCCACAUUGGGACUGAGAUACGGCCCAGACUCCUACGGGAGGCAGCAGUGGGGGAUAUUGCACAAUGGGCGGAAGCCUGAUGCAGCAACGCCGCAUGCGGGAUGACGGCCUUCGGGUUGUAAACCGCUUUCGCCUGUGACGAAGCGUGAGUGACGGUAAUGGGUAAAGAAGCACCGGCUAACUACGUG